GAGUUGGNGCACGGGUGAGUAACACGUACACAAUCUUGCUUAUACUUGGGGCAUACCCUCGGGAAACUGAGAAUAAUUCCCCAUAACAUAUUGAAAAGGCAUCUUUUUAAUAUUAAAACUCCGGUGGUAUAAGAUGAGUGUGCGUCUGAUUAGCUAGUUGGUAAGUGUAACGGGUUACCAAGGCUACGAUCAGUAACUGGUCUGAGAGGAUGAUCAGUCACACGGACACUGAGACACGGGUCCGACUCCUACGGGAGGCAGCAGUAGGAAUAUUUGGACAAUGGGCGCAAGCCUGAUCCAGCCAUCCCGCGUGAAGGAUUAAGUGGCCUCUGGGUUGUAAAACUUCUUUUCUCUGGGGAAUAAAAACUCCGAUUCUUUCGGGAAGCUUGAAGGUACCAGAGGAAUAAGCAACGGGUAACUCCGUGACCAGCAAGACCGACGGGUAAUAACCGGAGGGUUGCAAANCCGUUAUCCGGAUUUCAAAUUGGGGUUUUAAAAAAGGGGAAAGCAAGUUAGAGUAGAGCUUAAUUGGUAAAAGUCACAAGAUUGGGUUGAAAAUUCCUCACGGGAAGGACUUUCUAAAAGUACCGGAAAAAAAUU
This 600-nucleotide ribosomal RNA is filed under the name uncultured bacterium. RNAcentral describes it as "bacterial SSU rRNA". The stretch from base 1 to 463 matches the Rfam family "Bacterial small subunit ribosomal RNA", at positions 92 to 537 of the family's 1533-position model. The record is from RNAcentral.